UGACAUCAGAUGGGUCCUUUCCC
Molecule: non-coding RNA, 23 nt
Filed under: Rattus norvegicus (Norway rat)
Lineage: Eukaryota; Metazoa; Chordata; Mammalia; Rodentia; Muridae
Source: RNAcentral